This is a long non-coding RNA of Dermacentor silvarum, 1594 nucleotides long. RefSeq lists it as uncharacterized. NCBI's taxonomy places the organism in Eukaryota, Metazoa, Arthropoda, Arachnida, Ixodida, Ixodidae. The transcript has 3 exons. The record is from RefSeq and is a predicted model, not a curated record.
CCCAAGACAAGCAUGUACGUUGCGCGGGAGCGGCCGCAUACAAGAAUUCGCGGUGAGAACGUCGUCGACCGCAUUACCGCCAACCCACAAAGGACUGCGAUCUCAAGGCCUUGCUCCUUCAGCUGUAGCGCGACGUGAGCCCUGCCAUUUCACUUUCAAGAUACGUAAGCUGCUUCGACCCUGAAAAUGCCGACGCAAUGGUGCAUCUGAACAGCCAAUGGAUACCAUGCCCACUCUGUAACGACCAGUGCUUUUAAUGAAACAGCACAGCAGAAUAGUCAACCACGUGAGGCACCUCAGACAGCAUAUGCAGUGGGUUGUGACGGAUUUAAUGAUUUCAUCAGCAUUUUCACUGGAUGCAAGGCUGUGAAUCUCUUGUAUGAUGCAUGUGUGGAAAAGAAACCCAACAUCCGGUGCACAUGCCUGCUUGAAACAGUCGGGCAUAUCCCAUUAGUUGAGUGCCCCCGUGUCGGCAUUUGCUGAUGUGAUCCCAGCUAUCUUCACCCAUUACAUUCUGCUGAAUUUACUGCAGCCACCCUUUGGAAAAAUAACACAUGGCAAUUAUUUCAAGGUAAUUAGUUCUCCCAUACAGAAAAAAUACCAUUAGCAGUACUCGUGGGUGAUAAUCUGCCAGUUUGCAAUGGUGGCGAGCAUAAAUACCACUAGCUGUAGUAACACCAGUUUUGAAAUUAGGAAGCAACUUUCUUGCAGCUAGACUUUAUGUGUACUAUGUUUCAUGCAACGUCAGUGUUCAGAAUAAAAGCAUUUGACCACUGCAAAUUGUAGUUUUUUUUUUCUUCUAGACGUACAUAUGAACACAUUCUUGAUAUAAAAAGACAUGCAGGGCUGUAUUACAGCACAGAAAUGUUUGGACAAUUCAAGCUCAUUAAUUCAGAAUGUAAGUUUGAAAAUUCUAAGGAAUGAAACCAUUCUGUUUUCAGUGCACUGAAGUACACAAAGUGCACUUCAGCCACCAAAUGCAAUUGACAAGGUUGAUAACAUUUAUGAGUUAUGACGGCACUGCAGUUAACUUUGUGUUGGCAAGCACAUGAAUUUCGGGUUCUGCAAAAAAUGGAAUGUGCCUUGCACCUGUACAGGACAUUUCAUGCAACAAUCAAAAAAGGAUACAUAUUUGGCAAACAGGCUUCUCAGAAUAGCUUUUUGCACAGCACUUAGUUAAUAUAAUUUGUUAUGCAAUGCUUUCUUUAAUAUUUGUUUCAGGACAUAAGUUGUACUUAAAAAAUUUUGAAAGCUGUUCAGAAACACCGAAUGCAAGCUGAAGAAUGUGUUCACAUACAACCACUUCAGGGGGGCAGCCUUUUUCUGGUCACUCAAGACCUCAAAGACUGCUGUCAGGGAGGAGUGUGGCUGUUGCAGUGGGUGAAAAGUGCAAAAAAAAAUAAACGAACACUACAAAAGUGCUUUAUACCUGUUCAAGCAUGAACUAAAGCCAAGUACUCAAAUUGCCAUAUUAACAAGGAAUGUUGAGAUCUUGUGCAUCAGACAUUGGUAAUUUUUUACAAGAUGCCUCAAUCACACUGGUGAGCCUAUGCAGUUUUUUUUAUUUGUCGCCAGAAGUGCCCACACUGCUAUC